GACGAACCGUGCGAACGUUAUUCGGAAUCACUGGGCUUAAAGCGCGUGUAGGCGGCCCGGCACGUCCGUCGCUGAAAUCCCCCGGCUCAACCGGGGAAGGGGCGUGGAUACGGCCGGGCUGGAGGGGGUAGGGGGAGCCGGAACUUCCGGUGGAGCGGUGAAAUGCGUUGAGAUCGGAAGGAACGCCCGUGGCGAAAGCGGGCUCCUGGACCCACCUGACGCUGAGACGCGAAAGCCAGGGAGCGAACGGG
RNAcentral lists this ribosomal RNA (251 nucleotides) under uncultured bacterium. Its description in RNAcentral is "partial 16S ribosomal RNA". It matches the Rfam family "Bacterial small subunit ribosomal RNA", at positions 524 to 776 of the family's 1533-position model. The record is from RNAcentral.